Mangifera indica (mango) is the source of this 651-nucleotide long non-coding RNA. RefSeq lists it as uncharacterized. The record is from RefSeq and is a predicted model, not a curated record. The transcript is spliced from 2 exons. Lineage: Eukaryota; Viridiplantae; Streptophyta; Magnoliopsida; Sapindales; Anacardiaceae.
GUUCUGGAGAUGCAUCAGCAGAAAAAGCAGCUAACACUUAUGAUACAGGUUACAGCACGAGAAAAGCUGAGGUGGUCAAUGUCGAAUUACCAGGAUUUCUCUGUGGUAGGACUGUCAACCAGAACCAGUGGAAUAAGGGUGAAGGCUGAUUGAAUAUGCAAAGGAAUUUGCUGCAAACAUAUCAGUGAGUGAUAGAAUGCAAGAUGAGAAUCAGGGCCUCCCUUGUAUGGAGACUUCAUCAAUGUGGAAAAUUUUUAUCAAGUAUCUAGAAGUAUUGGAAACAAUGCUGCAGAAGCCUCACUUCCAUCCUUUAAAACAAUGCAGAGAGAUGUAUCGUGAUGGAUUAGCAUUUGGUUACAUGAUAACUUUUGCCAAAGUGGUAAAGCAGACUUCUGAUUUACAAGUCAAGGACCCAAAAAGUAUCUUUGAUGGCAUUUCUGAAACUCUUUAGGACUUAGCAUUGCAUGGCUUUGACGUUCAGCCCAUACAGAAACGUCUCACUGAGUUGCAGUUAGUGAAAGAUAGGCAAGAACAGCUUCAAGAGGCAUUGAAAGAAUUUCAACAUCAGAUCUUAGAAUGCAUUUGUGAGCAAAUGAAAAUCGAUGCAGAGUUUGCUAAAGUUGUCGAGGAAAUGAUGUUGUUAGAAGAAAA